Molecule: long non-coding RNA, 434 nt
Filed under: Rattus norvegicus (Norway rat)
Lineage: Eukaryota; Metazoa; Chordata; Mammalia; Rodentia; Muridae
Description: long non-coding RNA NONRATT002533
Source: RNAcentral
CCAGGGUGCACAGCUGGAAAUUUGGGGGUCUUCUGUCAGCAGGGGACAGCGUGAAUGGGGGCAAUGGCAUCUCCCGGCCACAUCCUGAUUGUCUGUGUGUGUCUCCUCUCCAUGGCCAGUGCAGAAGCUCCGCAGGAACCAGAUCCAUUCACCUACGGCAAAAGAUGCCGGUGCAAAUUCAACCAACAGCAGAGAACUGGGGAACCCGACGAAGAGGAGGGAACUUUCCGCAGCUCCAUCCGCCGUCUGUCCACCCGCAGGCGGUAGAACCUCCACCUGGCUCCAGGAAACUCAGCCAGAGCCCCCUUGGCACCUGACACCUCUCCCCACCCAGCUGCUCGCCUGUGACCACCUCCAGCGUCCCCUGCAUCAGCCCUGCUUCUCGGACACCCCUUGCUGCUCAGACCUCCAAUAAAACUCGGUUUUCCUUCUUG